UCAUUGGGCAGUUGGUUUGGAUGACUUG
RNAcentral lists this non-coding RNA (28 nucleotides) under Homo sapiens (human). Lineage: Eukaryota; Metazoa; Chordata; Mammalia; Primates; Hominidae. The record is from RNAcentral.